Molecule: RNA transcript, 2027 nt
Organism: Thunnus maccoyii (southern bluefin tuna)
Lineage: Eukaryota; Metazoa; Chordata; Actinopteri; Scombriformes; Scombridae
Gene name: cortexin-3
Exons: 2
Source: RefSeq, a predicted model, not a curated record
UAUUUCAGACUGAAAGUGAUGGUUUCUCUUCGUGAGCUUGAAAAAGAAGAAUAUGUUGAGAUCCCAGACAUAAUUUAAGACAUAUAAAAAAUAUGUUGCUUUGAAUAAUAAUGUGUGUCAAAUCUGUUUUUUUCCACAAACAAAAGUACAAUUAGAACUAGAAGAGUGCACUCAGUAGGGUGCAGAUCUCCACCAGGUGUGUCUGGGGAUAUGUAUAGUUUCACUUUUCUUUAAGAUGCAUAGAAUAGUGUAAUGGUAUUGUAACCAAGGGUCCUGGGUUCGCCUAACUGUAUAAACUUAAUAAGGUAACAAUAAACAGGACGAUAAGUCCAAACUUCUCCAUUUAAACAUUGUUGUAACACACCACACAAAAUAACCCCUCCCAAACAAAAAAUUGAAAAAAGAAAAGAGUUGAGUUGAAUCUCACUCAACUGUCACUCCAAGCUCCUUUACAGUCAAGAUGGCAGCGAAGCUAAUAAAAAUGGUUAUUUAUUCAUCAAAUAUCGUGCCUCACUUUAGUGGAUCAUAUGGCUGUCAGUCUUUUAGCCUUGACAAAGGCCAAAAUGUGGCCUGUAACAGACUAGCGAAGCCUUGUUUUUAGCCAAUUGCAGGAAAUGUCUUUUGCUGUAGUUGUUGAUCACUUGCGGCCUCUACCAGCCAGUUAAGAGAAGUGAGGAGUCAGCAGUUAAUGGCGGUAUAAAACGUGAUAUUAAAAUAGGUUUUUCAACUAUUGUGAAUCACUGCAACCACAGGUACUUGAGCAUACAGUCAUAAAUGUGUAAAAAAAAAUAUUAGGCUGAUGGGUUCAGUAGUGUAUGAGAUUGGCAGCAGACAGACACACAUAUGGACACACACAACCAAACACAUGAUCUCCUCCAGGCUUACACCUGGCAGAGAUAAUUAAUGGGUUUGCUCACCUACAAAACAAAAAAAACAACAACAUAUUGCGUCUAGUGGUGUCGCUCCGUGCAGAUAGUUUUGGUCUUUGUUUGUCCAGGUUUUCAGAUGUCUGUCUCAGAGAUUUCUGCCUCCAAUCCAUAUGACAGAGGUGAAUGGAAUUUAGUUUGUGUGUCAUCCUCAAAGCAUUAAAAAAUAACAAUAACUGAAACAUUGCCUCUGUUAAGUUGAAUAUAUCAAAUGUCAUUUUUCAAUGACAAACCUGAACAAAUGAAACCAAAAGUAUCCACACCAAUAGAUACCACAAGAGGUAUGUCAGAAAAUAUGUUUUUGUUAUUUUGGUGAAUUGACCCGUUAAAAAUUUAGUGACAGCAAAAUGCUAACAGUUAUGCUGUUGUUCUCCAUCCUCAUUCUAGACAAUGAGGUCCAUCUGAGGGGGCUUGGCCAGUCUUGUAUGAAGAGGAUGCCACAGCGCCCCCUGUGGAUGCUGCAGUGCCACUGUCCUGCCCCCACCACACACUUCUCUCCCCAGAUGAUGGAAGGAGAGCCCUUCACCUCUGCUCUCUCCUCUCUGCUGCACUCUGCCGGGGGACACUUUAUCGCCCUGUCCUCUUCCUCCUCCUCCUCCUCCUCCUCGUCUUCCUCCUCUGCCUCAUCAGAUUCAGCUAUUGCUGCCAUGUCCCUGGAGCAGAAGACCACUUUUGCCUUGGUCAUAUUUCUCUUUGUUUUCCUCCUCAUCCUCAUCGUGCGAUGCUUCCGUAUCCUGCUGGACCCCUACCGGAGUAUGCCUACCUCCACUUGGGCCGAUGGCCUCGAUGGUCUGGAGAAGGGCCAGUUCGACUACACUCUGGCCUAGGGUUCAACACAAAAUGCACACAAGCACACUAGUGUGUAUUCACACAUGCCCAGUUGCAUUGUACUGUGUUACUUUGUUUGCCUUGAGCCAAUGGAGGCACUGAGAGGCAGAAAACCAGUCCAUCUCAUGCUGCCUCGCUGAAUCUCCAUCAGUACCCUUUCAUGGUGGUGCAUUUGCAUUAUUGGUGGUCCUGUUGUACUGAAACACUGCUGAUGAUUCGCUGAUACUGUAACCUCCAUGAUCCAUGCUUCCAGUUUGUAACAAUGACCAAGGC